Long non-coding RNA from Polistes canadensis, 607 nucleotides. RefSeq lists it as uncharacterized. Lineage: Eukaryota; Metazoa; Arthropoda; Insecta; Hymenoptera; Vespidae. The record is from RefSeq and is a predicted model, not a curated record. The transcript is spliced from 2 exons.
CUCAUUAUAAUAUUUUCUUAUCUCAAUCCUAUUUAAUAUAAUUGUUUAAUACUUUAUUCACAUUUUAUUUUAUCCAAUCCGCAUUAAUCCAAAUACACUUUCUAUAUUGUUUUUUCCUUCACACUCACACACUUAGUUACUUACUACUAUCAUAUUUUUUGUACACACACAUUUGGUGUAAACUAUAAUUGCUCGAAGAUUGAUAGUUCGCGUACUUAUUCCCUAUUCUUGAUUUAUUUAUUUUUGAUACGAUUAAACUUCGAGGAUAAUUAUCUUCGAUGGGGUACGAGCGUCGUCCUCCUAUCGUCGUUGGAACGACGCUUACAAAUUUUUCCGAGAAUAAAAAUAAUGUCUCCAGUUUAUAUAUAAUUGAGGAAAAAAUUCUAGAAUAUCUAGAAAUGAAAUUUUAAUCAUUCGAGAUUUAUUCAUAGUAGUUAGCGGCUUCUCGUUCCCACGGCAACGCGUAGUAGUAGUUCGGGAAAGGCACGAUGCCUUCGUCGAGAGUUUGAUAGAAAGCGACAGUAUCUGGAAGAGGAUCAUCGAGUUGGGAACGUGGCCACCGUGUUUGUGCGUUCAGUCGUUCCUGGUAAGAGGAAUUCGAGAGAGG